CGUGCCUAAUACAUGCAAGUCGAGCGGACAGAAGGGAGCUUGCUCCCGGAUGUUAGCGGCGGACGGGUGAGUAACACGUGGGUAACCUGCCUGUAAGACUGGGAUAACUCCGGGAAACCGGAGCUAAUACCGGAUAGUUCCUUGAACCGCAUGGUUCAAGGAUGAAAGACGGUUUCGGCUGUCACUUACAGAUGGACCCGCGGCGCAUUAGCUAGUUGGUGAGGUAACGGCUCACCAAGGCGACGAUGCGUAGCCGACCUGAGAGGGUGAUCGGCCACACUGGGACUGAGACACGGCCCAGACUCCUACGGGAGGCAGCAGUAGGGAAUCUUCCGCAAUGGACGAAAGUCUGACGGAGCAACGCCGCGUGAGUGAUGAAGGUUUUCGGAUCGUAAAGCUCUGUUGUUAGGGAAGAACAAGUGCAAGAGU
RNAcentral lists this ribosomal RNA (429 nucleotides) under Bacillus pumilus. RNAcentral describes it as "bacterial SSU rRNA". It matches the Rfam family "Bacterial small subunit ribosomal RNA", at positions 43 to 462 of the family's 1533-position model. Lineage: Bacteria; Bacillati; Bacillota; Bacilli; Caryophanales; Bacillaceae. The record is from RNAcentral.